GAUUCUACGUUUCAAGUGAGUGGCGAACUGGUGAGUAACACGUGGGAAACCUGCCCAGAAGCGGGGGAUAACACCUGGAAACAGAUGCUAAUACCGCAUAACAACUUGGACCGCAUGGUCCGAGCUUGAAAGAUGGCUUCGGCUAUCACUUUUGGAUGGUCCCGCGGCGUAUUAGCUAGAUGGUGGGGUAACGGCUCACCAUGGCAAUGAUACGUAGCCGACCUGAGAGGGUAAUCGGCCACAUUGGGACUGAGACACGGCCCAAACUCCUACGGGAGGCAGCAGUAGGGAAUCUUCCACAAUGGACGAAAGUCUGAUGGAGCAACGCCGCGUGAGUGAAGAAGGGUUUCGGCUCGUAAAACUCUGUUGUUAAAGAAGAACAUAUCUGAGAGUAACUGUUCAGGUAUUGACGGUAUUUAACCAGAAAGCCACGGCUAACUACGUGCCAGCAGCCGCGGUAAUACGUAGGUGGCAAGCGUUGUCCGGAUUUAUUGGGCGUAAAGCGAGCGCAGGCGGUUUUUUAAGUCUGAUGUGAAAGCCUUCGGCUCAACCGAAGAAGUGCAUCGGAAACUGGGAAACUUGAGUGCAGAAGAGGACAGUGGAACUCCAUGUGUAGCGGUGAAAUGCGUAGAUAUAUGGAAGAACACCAGUGGCGAAGGCGGCUGUCUGGUCUGUAACUGACGCUGAGGCUCGAAAGUAUGGGUAGCAAACAGGAUUAGAUACCCUGGUAGUCCAUACCGUAAACGAUGAAUGCUAAGUGUUGGAGGGUUUCCGCCCUUCAGUGCUGCAGCUAACGCAUUAAGCAUUCCGCCUGGGGAGUACGGCCGCAAGGCUGAAACUCAAAGGAAUUGACGGGGGCCCGCACAAGCGGUGGACAUGUGGUUUAAUUCGAAGCUACGCGAAGAACCUUACCAGGUCUUGACAUACUAUGCAAAUCUAAGAGAUUAGACGUUCCCUUCGGGGACAUGGAUACAGGUGGUGCAUGGUUGUCGUCAGCUCGUGUCGUGAGAUGUUGGGUUAAGUCCCGCAACGAGCGCAACCCUUAUUAUCAGUUGCCAGCAUUAAGUUGGGCACUCUGGUGAGACUGCCGGUGACAAACCGGAGGAAGGUGGGGAUGACGUCAAAUCAUCAUGCCCCUUAUGACCUGGGCUACACACGUGCUACAAUGGAUGGUACAACGAGUUGCGAACUCGCGAGAGUAAGCUAAUCUCUUAAAGCCAUUCUCAGUUCGGAUUGUAGGCUGCAACUCGCCUACAUGAAGUCGGAAUCGCUAGUAAUCGCGGAUCAGCAUGCCGCGGUGAAUACGUUCCCGGGCCUUGUACACACCGCCCGUCACACCAUGAGAGUUUGUAACACCCAAAGUCGGUGGGGUAACCUUUAG
RNAcentral lists this ribosomal RNA (1381 nucleotides) under Lactiplantibacillus plantarum. Its description in RNAcentral is "bacterial SSU rRNA". It matches the Rfam family "Bacterial small subunit ribosomal RNA", at positions 75 to 1445 of the family's 1533-position model. The record is from RNAcentral. Lineage: Bacteria; Bacillati; Bacillota; Bacilli; Lactobacillales; Lactobacillaceae.